Molecule: ribosomal RNA, 486 nt
Filed under: uncultured bacterium
Lineage: Bacteria
Description: bacterial SSU rRNA
Rfam family: Bacterial small subunit ribosomal RNA
Source: RNAcentral
CAGGCCUAACACAUGCAAGUCGAGCGGAUGACGGGAGCUUGCUCCUGGAUUCAGCGGCGGACGGGUGAGUAAUGCCUAGGAAUCUGCCUGGUAGUGGGGGACAACGUUUCGAAAGGAACGCUAAUACCGCAUACGUCCUACGGGAGAAAGCAGGGGACCUUCGGGCCUUGCGCUAUCAGAUGAGCCUAGGUCGGAUUAGCUUGUUGGUGAGGUAAUGGCUCACCAAGGCGACGAUCCGUAACUGGUCUGAGAGGAUGAUCAGUCACACUGGAACUGAGACACGGUCCAGACUCCUACGGGAGGCAGCAGUGGGGAAUAUUGGACAAUGGGCGAAAGCCUGAUCCAGCCAUGCCGCGUGUGUGAAGAAGGUCUUCGGAUUGUAAAGCACUUUAAGUUGGGAGGAAGGGUUGUAGAUUAAUACUCUGCAAUUUUGACGUUACCGACAGAAUAAGCACCGGCUAACUCUGUGCCAGCAGCCGCGGUAAU